This is a long non-coding RNA of Anolis carolinensis (green anole), 1840 nucleotides long. The record is from Ensembl. Lineage: Eukaryota; Metazoa; Chordata; Lepidosauria; Squamata; Anolidae.
AUUAUACACUUAUGACUAUGACAAAUUCACUAUUUCUUUGCAGCUCCUAGUUUAAAGGCUAUGGGAGACCAUGAAAGACCCUCAGUCCUUACUUCUCAGGAUGCAACUGAUGCAGUUGAUGGGAAUCUGUUUCCCUGUUCAUUGGAAAGCAUCAGUCUGAUAUCCCCACCCACCUUCGCAUGAGCUGUGUAAGGAAUAAAUGCAACAGUGCAGUCCUGAUAUUGCAAAGCAGAGGAAGACCUCACAAGAAUACCGACAUUGUGUGACUUCUCAAUUUCAUCAGAAUAGUUGGAAAGGAACAACAGAAAAAAGAGUGCACAUGUGCUGGGGUGGUCACACACGGGUGGAAGCGAGGCUAUGCAGAAGACUGUGAGAAUUUGCGUCAACAAAGACUCACCAUUGCACAAUUGUGGCAAGGUGCAAAAGAGAUCAUUCCAAUCACACUAUGUUUCCAUUUGUUCGAACAGCAUGCCUCAAUAGGCCCCCAAGACUCAAGAUACAUUUUGGGGAGUGCAUUGUGUUCUAAACACAUGAGUGAUCCUUUCCAGAUCUUAACAUUCAACAGUGUUCUCAUAGUGCAGUCUUCCAAACAGAUGUAAUGCCAAAGAAUGAGUGGAACCACAAAACUUUCUUCAUUCAGCCAAAGAUGAUCUAUUAAUAAAUAAAUAAACCUUUCUAUAUCUAACAUUUUAGCCACACAAACAGAAAAUUUAAUAUUAAUGGGAAAUUGUAUUAUUUAUUUUUUGGAAAUAACUCUGACAGAAGCUAGAGGUGGCAGCCCUGUUGGAAGAUUGAAGAGCAAAAUGAGUUGAGCUGUGAGUGGCAGACGAAAUGAAGAAGAAAACUUACAAAAGAUCCUACAGUGUGUUAGACAUUUAGUAAUGCUUAGCUGAAGCUUGUCUUCUUGUUAUUGAUAUGGGCUAAAUAAUUGGUGGCAGGUAGUAAGGGGUACCGUGGAGACUAUCGUGUCAAAGAUUUCAACAAAGAGAUUUGCAGGUUUAUGCAAACAUCAAAAUUUUGUCACUACCUUAACAUCCUAGUUUAGACUGCAGAUGGGUACUCACAGAAAGUUCAGAAAGACUGAGUUCAUAAGGCUCCAGUAAGUUCUUGUAUACAAUCAGUCAAUUGAUGUGGAUCAUAUAUUCUUGUUACCACACAAUAUAUACACUCAGAAGAUAGUAAGGACCUCAUCAGAUGGAGAUUAGUCUCCGUUUCUACAUACUUCAAAGAUAAAAUCCCAUGGAUCCCAUCAAACAACACAUAACCCAUUCCAAGGGUUGCCCAUGGGAUUCUGUCUCCACAGCGUGUAGAAACGGGUGGAUUUUAAAGAUAGGGUAGAUUGACUCCACUCCUUGUGCAUAGAAAUGCUUAAAACAGGGGUUUUUCUGUGAGAUGGGAAAUGGUGCAUUUGCCAGUUUUCAAUCCAUUUUCUGAUGUUUAAGUGUGGGCAUGCCCCCCAAUGCUCCUUCUGCCAACAUUAGAUCUUGCCUAGGGCUUUCACUAAUUCAGCAGCACCAAUGGCAGAUGCUCAGAUACUUCACCUGCUCUUUGCUGACUGCAUAUAUUUUCAAUGAGGCUCGUGUCUAAAAUUGGCUGUAGAAAUCUUCCAAAUAACCCCAGCAUGCAAUCAGUAAGUAUGUUAAAAAGCCUCCUUCAUUCUCUACCAGGCCAUUGAAACACUUCCUUCUCAUACCACACCAGAACAAAGUGUUUUAUGUAGACAUACGAAUGGAAGACAUGCUCUAACACCAGAAAGUUUGUAUCAGCUGCUUCAUGGAGAGGCAUACAUUUUUACAAGUCUUUUAUUGCUAGGGAUGGGUGGCAUUUCUGAGGGGGUUUU